This 403-nucleotide long non-coding RNA is filed under the name Citrus sinensis (sweet orange). RNAcentral describes it as "long non-coding RNA (CSIN_LNC001669)". Lineage: Eukaryota; Viridiplantae; Streptophyta; Magnoliopsida; Sapindales; Rutaceae. The record is from RNAcentral.
CGGCAACUUCCAUGCCGGUAACUAUCAUACCAGGCACAACCUCCCUGGUCAGCCUCACAAUAGCAUCUUCUGCAGAGUUCAUGUCCAGUGCCUUCAUUCCAGGCACUUCCUCAAUCAUUCCGAUACUCUUCAACCUCUUUACUCCAGUGGCCCCAAAAGGCCCAUCAUGGCCACAAGAGCUCACAACCACCUUCGCUUCCAUUACAUUGGGAUCCAUGCAAGACUGUGUAUCGUGAUUCAUUGACACCAACGCCCAGUUGGUCACCACACCACCAACUCUGCCGCCUUUGACUAUCAAGUCCUCGGCUGCCACUGCAUUAAAGAGCUUGACGUUGGGGCGGGCCAGGAGCUUGCUCAUUAUAGUGGAGGUGAACAGCGCUGCAUGCUUGAUCACAACAUAGUU